CCAGGACAAAGAGUUAGCUGGUAAGUUUGGACUGUUUCUACAGGUUAAUUUCAUGGAGUAGCCAUUAAGUUUAGAGAAGCCCUUUUUGGGGGGUAUGGGACAGGGGCGCUGUCUGUCCUAUCUAUUCACUAACACUAAAGUCCUUCUCCUAGGUGGAAUUAUUAAAUAUUUCAGACUUUGACUCCUUCAGAAACAAGCAUCUGGCUCCUUAUGCUUCAAGUUCCUUGAUGGUAUCUACACACUGAUCCAAUAAUCACUUACCAAUCAGAUGACAUGCCUAUUCUCUCAACAUGGAGAGUUGAAUUAAACAGGGGCAAGUUGAAAGAAAGAUCUUUUAAAUUAAAAUCAACUUCCUGAUAACUACUCUUCAGCAUUCCAAACUUCCUCAGGCUGAAACUGGCAUGUUCUCUGACCAGCACAGCCUAGCUAAAUCUACAUAUUUAUACCUUCUGGCUUUUGUUUCUAUAAAUUAUAACUGCUUCUGUAAGACUAAUGAAGAAAUAGUCUAGCUGCUUCUCCCCAGUUUUAUCAAAUGUGUUAAAUUUAUUUUUUUCUUUUUACAUCAUUUACUUAUUUCUUAUGUGGGUAGGCAGCUGAAUCUGGCCAGCUGGGAUCCAGGCCAUUUCCCUGGCUUGGUUGCUGGUAACAAGAGUACUGGAAUUUAUAUUUAGCAAUUGUUGUUUCACUAUUUUAACUUACACAGGACACAGAUGUUUUCCUUAACAUAUACAUUUAUAAAUGUUUAUCCCAUUUAUAUCCAACUAUCCAUUUGAACAGCUAUUUUUAGAUUGACCAUGAAACCCAAGAUUUCAAGAGCUUUCAUUUAGAUUCAUCACUUGCCAGUUUUUAAAAAGUUAGACUUUGAUAUAAUUAUUAUAGCCAUAAGCAGUUAUUAAUAUUAAAUCUGUACUUCCAAAGGCCUGACUUAUUUGAAAGAAUGUCUUUGCCUUUGAAAGAAUGUCUUUAUAUCUCAAGACACAGAACUGAGUCUCAACACUAAGAAGAGCAAAGGGCAAGUGAAAGCAAAGGUUUCAAACCGGCUUUUUGUUGUUGUUUACAUUGUGGAUGUUUUAAUUCUUUAUCUCUGAGAGGGUUUUUUUUUUUUUUGUACUGGAGAUUAAAUCCAGGGAUAAUUUACCAUUGAGAUAUAUCCCCAGCCUCCCUCCCCAAUUUUCUGUUCAUUUUAUGAUAGGGUCUCACAACUUAGUUUUUCACUCUGGCCUCAAACUUUCCUGUUUUGGCCUCCUGAGUUGCUAAGAUUACACUUUUGCACCUGGCAAAAUAAGUCUUUUUUAAAGUGAAGACUUAAUAUCUCUUCCCAAAUUAAGAGCAAAUCAAUCAAUAGAAGGAGGCAUUCUUUCAAAGGCAAUUUUAUUUUGCAAAGGUUUUGUAAAAUCAUAUGUUGGAGAACUAUUACUAGCUAAUAAAUCCUUCUGACCUAAUUUGUUUUCUAAUCAGAUAUAGAUUUUUUUUAAUAUUUAUUUUUUAGUUUUAGGUGGUCACAAUAUCUUUUAUUCUAUUUUUAUAUGGUGUUGAGAAUCAAACCCAGUGCCUCAUGCAUGCUAGGCGAGCAAGCUACCACUUGAGCCACAUCUCCAGCCCCUAGAUAUAGGUUUUUCCAAGAGUGGGGCAAAAAGUGUUUUCUAUACCCAUCCACCAGUAAAAGUAACUUUUUGAGCUUUCCAAAGCUUUGUAUUCCUAUUUUAACUUAUCACAGGUUUUAGUCAUUUUAGAAAGCACUUGCUUUAAAUUUUAAGACAUUUUUCAUUGUUUAAGAAUUUAGAAAUGGCAAAUAAGAAAUUUAUACAUAUUUUGUACUUCUGUUUUAUUACCCAAGGAUUCUGAAUUAGCACACAAUAAUAUAAACUUGGGAAUAUUAAGUUUUCCCCCCUUUUAAAUUAUUUGUAUGUUGAGGCACCAUAAUUUUCAAACAUAAAGCCAGCUGAGUGCCAGAUAGUUUUAUUUCAAACAGUUUUUAAUUCCUUGAACUUUGGAUUUCAUUUUAGUGGAACUGCCCAUUCUCCAAAAAUUUCAACUAUCUGAGAUAACUGGGAGAGAUGUGUUUUGGACUAUAAGGGCAAGAUUCCAAUGGCCAGGAGAAAGUCAAAAAUCAAAAAGGCAAAUUUAUGUAAUGAAGUGGCAAGAGAAAAGACCAGAUGCAAGCAAACAGGUUUUGACAAGGGUUCUGAAACAAAGGGCAUCCAAAUUAAAUAGCUCAUAGUUGACAGCCUUCCAAAACUCCAACUAUGCAAAUCCAAGCAGGUGAUCUUAAUCAGGUGUAGUCUGCUUCAUCAUUAUUUUAGAAUUGGUCAGGUGAGGACUUGUCCCCAAUAAGAAAAUUGCUGUUGCAUAGUAGGGUGGCUUAGACUCAUUACAAGAUGUUUGUCAAUCAGACCUCUUGUUGCUGGAAUCCAAGGUGACUCAGAGCAAAGGAGACAGAUACAAAAUUGAGGCAGAAUGUCAGGCACGAUGGCACACACCUGUAAUCCCAGUGAUUUGGGAAGCUGAGGCAGGAGGACAAGAAAUUAGAGGUCAGUUUAGCAAAUUAGCAAGACCCUCAGCAGUUUAGCAAGACCUCGAAUUAAAGCAAAAUAUAAAUAAAAAACUGGGAAUGUAGUUCAGUGGUAAUGCACCCCUUGAUUCAAUCCCCAGUACACACACACACACACACACAUACACACAAACAAUAGAGAUGGAGAUGCCAUAUCUUUAAUACUGUUUCUAGUCACCUAUUAGGCAAAAGUGAAGUUUGAGUCCUCAUUGAAGAUCCAGAGCCAGGAAGAUGGUCAGUUAGGCUAGGCCAGGCAGACCCUGCACAACUAUACCACGAUGAGAAAAAACUUGCUAACAAGAAACCGAGAGCAAAGCCCACAGAGGUACUGGCUGUAGUUCUACAGGGCCUGCCAGUCUUCUGGGGAGGGCCAAGAUGGGAUAAGGAUGGUGAUGAUUUUUUUUUAAAUCAAGAUUUGUAAGUUUUUUCUUCUAGGGACUGUGUAAGGAGCUCUGUGAUACCUAUUGUUUUAGUCAGUUGUUUUUCCUUUCUGUGACUAAAAAACCUGAGAAGAACAACUGUAGAGAAGGAAAAGUUUAUUUGAGGGUCAUGGUUUUGGUCUUAGUCCAUAGACAACUAGUUCCAUUCCUUGGGGCUUAAGAAUGAAGCUGAAUAUCAAUGUGGAAGAGUGUGGUGGAGGGAAGCAGCUCACAGGAUGAUCAGGAAACCGAGAGAGAGAGAGAGAGAGAGAGAGAGAGAGAGAGAGAGAGAGAGAGAGAGAGAGAGUCCACUCAUCAAACGCAAACUAUAUACCCUCAAGGGAUGCCCCUAGGGACCCAUCUCCUCCAGCCACACCCUACCAGCCAGUAGUUACACUCAUUUAAGACUAUCAUAACCCAAUCAUAUAGCCUCUAAACCUCCUUGUAUUGUCUCACACUUGAGCUUUGGGGGACACCUCACAUCCAAGCCAUACCACCCAUGAAGGUGAAGAGAGAGGGAAGGGAGAGACAAGGCUGCUGUGGGAGAGGUGGGAAUAUGGAAAGACUGGAGGGUCAUGGUUAGCCAGAAGCUGGGGGAUGAGGAGAGAGGAGGAUAGACACUAGAGACAUUUACCUACUUAACACUUACUUAAGGAAAAAAGAGUAAAAAAAAAGUGUGUUAAGGGGUAGAUUUUAGAUUGCUAGGAAAAGGGAAAGAGAAUGAGACUUAUGUGGGUUAGCAGUGUCUCUCUCACCCACACCUCUCACCAAAAAAAAAAAAAAAAAAAAGGCACCAAAGCAAAAUCUUUAAUUAGGCUAUUUUGUGUCAGUGUUUGCUGCCUUCUAAUACAUACAGAGGCAAAUAGAGACCUGUAUUUAAUUAUUUUAUUUUAUUUUGCAGUCCUGGGGAUUGAAGCCAGAGGUGCUCUACCUCUGACCGACAUCCCUGACCCUUUUUUAUUUUGAGUUGGGGUCUUGCUAAGUUGCCCACACUGGUCUUGAACUUGCAAUCCUCCUGCCUCAGCCUCCUGCAUCACUGGGAUUACAGGCAUGCAGCACUGUAUCCAGCUAACUGGAGGCCUUGGGAAGGACCAAAAUCACAAGUCACAGAGAACAUCCUCAUAGUAAAAUACCACACGUGUCUGUAAACUGCACAUGUGACACCAAGCUACGCAUUCAAUGUGUCUCAAAAAUCUUGGGGGAUAGUGGGCAGCUAUCUAGGGCAAGGCAGUGAAACAAAUAUAGGUGAUAUAUAAGUAGAUAGAUGGAUAGGACCAUUACCUUUAAAUAAUUUAGUAUAAAAAAUUAAAUAAAAAUAAAAUAAGUUUGCUUUUCAUUAUAUCUACUCUGUCAAUUGUAGUGAUAAAAUACAUGUCAAUAUCAGUGAUAAAAUACUUCUAGGUAAAAUGUUUUGAUGGUCUGAGUUCUAAAAAAUUGUAGACUUACCAUUCAGUUAUUUUGUCUAUCUCAACAUCUAUAUCUAUUAGUAUUUAAGAAUUAUUAUUUAUUCUUAGUGUUUAGUAUUUAUUUAUUAUUUAUUCUUGAAUAAAUAUUAUACUUCUCAUAGAAGUUAGUUUGGAGGACUCUCCUUAUUGACUUGGCCCUAAACACAGACCCACUUACAGUUUGGAACAAUUUGAGUUCACUUUGUGUACCACUCAUAGCCCAAACUAAUAUAUAUAUACCUGUGAUUAAUCAGUGGAUUCAAAAUAAAUGAUUGAUUGUGAAGAUGGAGCAUGAGCUCACUCCCACCCACGUCCUGUGUGGGAGGUGGAAUGGGGUUCCUCUGCAUGGAGUAGCUGGUGGGGAAAAGACCACCAGGCAUGGAAGUAAUUUUUUUUUUAUAUGGGGGCAAGAUGUCUCUUUGACCUAACAGGCAGAGCUUCCACACUGGGAAGAGAGAUCCAGAACCCGCAUUUUCCUUUAUUUAUACAAAGGAUCUUCAGAAGUGUUAGAGUCUGUAAACAAGUCUGGAUGGUGCCUGGCAUAAGGAUUUUGAUGGAUGUUCCUUUGCCUAAUAAGAUAGGAGGUGGGCUGUCCAAGCCUAAUGGGUAACGCCCAAGUCCUGAGCUGCAAGAACUGUCCCAUUGGUAGAGUGAGGGCAGAGAUCUGACGCCUUGGGCAGUCUACACAUGGGAAUGCUGGGAUCCUUCCCGAGGGGAGACCUAAGUCCCCAUGGCUCAGUACUGAGAAAAUAUCCACUCAAGUAGUGUCACGGGUGGUGUACCACAGCUGGAUGUGAUUGUGCAGUCCUAUUAUCCUUGCUACUUAGGGGCCUAAGGCAGGAGGAAAGUUUGAGGCGAGUCUCAGCAACUUAGCAAUAGCCUGCCCCACCCCCCCCCAAAUAAAAACUAAAAUAAAAGGGUUGGGGAUGUAGGGUUUUGUCUACAUAUGUAGACUGGUGAGUGUGUUAGUAUGUGCAUGUGUGUAUGCAUUUGUGUGUUUGUGUGUGUGUGUGUAUGUGUAACUAUAGUCAUCUCAGUGCUGCUAAACACUAUGUUUUGGUUGCCAGUCUCCAACCUCCCUCUGUCUAAUCUCCCUAUAGAGGUUAUGGUGGUUGGCUAUUCUCAGGAUCUUGAAGUUGAUUUGUUUCCACUAUCUGAUCAAUAGAUACUGUUUGAAAUGUACCCUAUUUAAUAGGCUUAUUAAAAUAUCAUAUCUCUUUUGGAUUAAUCUGUUUAAAAAAUAUAUUUUACAGGUAAAUUUUCAAAAGCAAGUGAAUUUCCAGUAACUUUUAGAGAUCUUGAGACAAUUUAUAGAUUUUCCAAAAAUUUAGGACAGGCCUGGGGAAAAAUGGCUUGGGGCAGGCCAGGUCUGGGAGGAAUAAAGGCUUUGGGGAGUGAAAGUAUGAACACAAAUUUUUCCAAAAUAAAGUUAUAAUCUCCUUUUCCUUCCUUUUGUCUCCUUUCUACCAAUCUUUGAUUUCCUUCUAUACUACUCAACUCCUCUGCAAAUACUUGAAUUUGAACCAUUAGCCAUGCGCAAAAAUUUAACAGGGAUGCCCUUUAUACUUUGAAUAUAAUGCUUAUUCCUCCACCACUGAUAUUUAUUUUAAAACUGAUAUUUUUUCCCUUUUCUCUUCCCCUUCCCCCCCUUUUUUAUCAUGGGGAGAGCAAGAUUAACCUUCUUCUUAUCCUAGGUUAUCGUCUUUUGUCACAGAAGAGCAAGAAGCCGAAGCUCCAAACCUUGGUUCUUGUGUUCUGAAAAAAAUUUAAAGCCAGACACUGAAAGUCAUGCUAGAGAAUUUUAUUAUGAGUGAAGGCGGACUGGAAGUGAAGUAGGGUGGAUGCAGACCAAGGCUCAAGCAGAGAGCACUCUCAAGGGAGAGAGCGGGUCCUCUCUGAGCAGAGAAUGACAAAGAAAAUAGUGCUGUUUCCAAAUUUAUUACUGUUUGGUAUUUGCCUUGAGAACUGGGGUCCACCUUCUGCACUCUUUGCUAAUCAGGUGUUCAAUUCCUUCUUCAUGUUGGGCAGUGGAGUUUUUUUUUUUUUUUUAACCUUAGUUGGUCCUCUCUGGAACUGUAAUGGUGAGCCAUCCUAUUCAGAGGCUUCAUCUACAGGUCAAUCCUAUGUUAAUGUGGGCAUUGGGGUGGCAACUGGUCAGAGGUUUCUGAACUGCCUUGAGUCACUAAAGAAUCCCUGCUUCUGAGAUAGAAGGAGACACUUGGGGCCAUAAAUUUUGGUUUUAUCUUGACCUUUAUGGACUCUGUCGAGAGUUAGUCCCAUAAAUCCUUCUUUCUUUAUGUAUUUCCCCCAUUUAGCUCCUUCAUUUGUUUAUCCUCAAGGUUUGUGUACUGAUAUUUCUCUACAGGUUAUCUGCUAUAAGUUAUUUACUCAUUUGCCUUGGUAGUAACUUAAAGGAAACUUUAAGAGUAUCUUAAAGUAAACCUGUGUCCUUGCUAUACAUUCCACUGCUUAUUACUAACUACUACUUAACUGCUACUUAACACUUGGGCUCACAGGUGACAGGAAUGAAGGAGUCCACAUUUCAGAGUCAGCACCUGUGGAGCUAAGAAAUGGCCAUCUCUUGAGGCUACAAAUGAUUUGAGUCCUGAUAGGACACAAUUGGAGUGGAGUCUUUGACUCACCUCUUUAAAAGUCCACUUUUCCCCCUGACAGACUCACAGGCUCUGGGACAAGAGUCCCCAGUAUUUCGCCUUUGGUAGCAAAGCAUGAAAACUUCUUUCCCCUUUUCUCAGACCCUUGCCUUUGUUAUUGGAUGAGCAUCAUGUAAAAGGAUCAAGCUUUCAGUAUCAAAUUUGGCCACCCAAAUGGGAUCCGAGAGUGUCACUGCUCUGAACUUCUUGGGUAGUUCUGGCACUCUGAGCAAGGCGGAUUAGGAGCUUGUUGAGACUUGACUGCUGAAGAAUUAGGAGGCAGAAUGAGUUUGCCUUGGGUCAAAGUAGGGAGCUAAGGGAGGGACUGAGGGAACAUCCCAACAGCUGCUGGGACUCUUUUUCCUUCAGGAAACUCCUGCCUUUUCUUCCUAACUGUACAGGUUAAUCCACCAAUUGGUCUUUUUCCCCCCCUUUAUUUUAGAGAGAGAGAAAGAGAGACAGAGACACAGAGAGAAUUUUUUUAAUAUUUCUUUUUAGUUUUCGGCAGACACAAUAUUUUUAUUUGUAUGUGGUGCUGAGGAUCGAACCCAGCGUCGUGCGCAUGCCAGGCAAGCACGCUACUGCUUGAGCCACAUCCCCAGCCCGAUUGGUCUUCUUUUUAAUAUUUAUUUUUUAGUUAUAGAUGGACACAAUAUUUUUUUUUAUUUUUAUGUGGUGCUGAGGAUCGAACCUAGUGCCUCAUGCAUGCUAGGCAAGCACUCUACCCCUGAGCCACAACCUUAGCCCCAACUGGUCUACUUUGAUAAAGAACUCUAAAUGGAGCAAAUUCAUGACAUCUUGGUAAUCAGGUAAACUUCCCUGGUGUGCCCACCAAGACCUUUGAUUCCACACUUCUGGUUCCCCUUCAUGGGAAUAUCUGGUUCCUCUUUAUGGGGACAUGUGUGGUGACAUUGUUGAUGGACUUAACUCUCACCAAUGAUUCAGUGGGAUGGGGAACCUAAGGGAUAUUUUCUCCCUGUCUGGUUUGUCUGUUUUAAAGGUUCCCAUCCAUCACCCUGGAUUGGGGGAAUCCCUCUGGUUGUUUGCCUCUGUUUUUUAUUUGUAUUUGUUACUGGCCUAUUAAGACACAAACAAUGCUGUGUCUCUUGGGAAAGAUCUUAGCUAAAUGGGCCACAGGUAGGUUUAAUAAUAUCUUAUUAUUGAUUUAUUCAAUAGGAUAGUAAUGGGCUCUAAUGAAGGUUUUUUAAAUGUAAAAUUCACUCCAUGAGAUAAACCUAUAGAAACAUUCCAGGCAACUCCUUUGUCUUGAUGUGAUGGAACUAGGGAGGCUGGACAUAUCUGAGUGAAGUCUACAGAGUCAAGGGCUAACCAAUAAUCUUAACACUUUUCCAAUACCCAGUUAGUAUAGAUUUUAGCCUAAGGUUGGUACUUUUCCAAUAGCUUGAUUAUCAUAGAUAUUGACCAAUGCCCCAUACCCAGUAGCUAUAUAAGCUAUAUAAGAUUAGUACUCUGAAGUAGCAACCCCUGUCAGUUUAUAACUCUUGCCCUGAAGGAGUUCUGUAUUUUCCUCUAAUUUGAAUAAAUCCUAUAUUCACUCA
Molecule: long non-coding RNA, 8625 nt
Filed under: Marmota monax (woodchuck)
Lineage: Eukaryota; Metazoa; Chordata; Mammalia; Rodentia; Sciuridae
Source: RNAcentral